Molecule: ribosomal RNA, 253 nt
Filed under: uncultured bacterium
Lineage: Bacteria
Description: partial 16S ribosomal RNA
Rfam family: Bacterial small subunit ribosomal RNA
Source: RNAcentral
UACAGAGGUGGCAAGCGUUGUUCGGAAUUACUGGGCGUAAAGGGCGCGUAGGCGGUUCGUUAAGUCCUGUGUGAAAUCCCCCGGCUCAACUGGGGAACUGCACAGGAAACUAGCGGGCUUGAGUUCGGGAGAGGGAAGCGGAAUUCCGGGUGUAGCGGUGAAAUGCGUAGAUAUCAGAAGGAACGCCGGUGGCGAAAGCGACCCACUGGAUCUCUACUGACGCUGAGGCGCGAAAGCUAGGGGAGCAAACGGG